RNAcentral lists this non-coding RNA (28 nucleotides) under Rattus norvegicus (Norway rat). The record is from RNAcentral. Lineage: Eukaryota; Metazoa; Chordata; Mammalia; Rodentia; Muridae.
UAACGGUUGAGCAUUUCUAGCCCCAAGC